RNAcentral lists this ribosomal RNA (1709 nucleotides) under human gut metagenome. Its description in RNAcentral is "bacterial LSU rRNA". It matches the Rfam family "Bacterial large subunit ribosomal RNA", at positions 751 to 2472 of the family's 2925-position model. The record is from RNAcentral.
UUGAGGUGAAACUCAAUGGAGGACCGAACCGACUACCGUUGAAAAGUUAGCGGAUGACUUGUGGCUAGGGGAGAAAUUCCAAUCGAACCCGGAGAUAGCUGGUUCUCCCCGAAAUAGCUUUAGGGCUAGCGUCGGAAAGAACCUUAGUGAAGGUAGAGCACUGAAUGUGUGAUGGCCCCAUCCCGGGGUACUGAAUACAAUCAAACUGCGAAUGUCAUUAAGGAUGUCCGGCAGUCAGACUGUGAGUGAUAAGGUCCAUGGUCAAGAGGGAAACAGCCCAGACCGCCAGUUAAGGUCCCAAAAUACAGGCUAAGUGGAAAAGGAUGUGGGGAUGCCCAGACAACUAGGAGGUUGGCUCAGAAGCAGCCACCCUUCAAAGAGUGCGUAACAGCUCACUAGUCGAGUGACCCUGCGCCGAAAAUGUACCGGGGCUAAGCCUGAUACCGAAACUGCGGAUUGUAGGAAACUAUAGUGGUAGGGGAGCGUUGUAUACGAGUAGAAGCCGUACCGUGAGGAGCGGUGGAUUGUAUAGAAGUGAGAAUGCCGGUGUGAGUAGCGAGAUGUAGGUGAGAAUCCUACACACCGAAAGCCCAAGGAUUCCAGGGGAAGGUUCGUCCGCCCUGGGUAAGUCGGGACCUAACGCGAGGCCGAAAGGCGUAGUGGAUGGAAAGCAGGCGAAAGAUUCCUGCACCCGUAUAUGGAGCGAAGGAGUGACGGAGACGGAUAGUGUGACCCUCUUAAUGGAUUGAGGGCGAAGCGAAGCGGCUGGUUACCAGGCAAAUCCGGUAACUGAAAGGCUAGAGCGUGACAGGUAAGCGAAAUCUACGGAAAGUAGCGAAGCACAUGAUGACGGCUUCCAGGAAAAGCUUCUGGCAAUGCAUAUGCGGCCCGUACCGAAAACCGACACAGGUGGGCAGGGAGAGAAUCCCGAGGUGAGCGAGAGAACUGUUGCCAAGGAACUCGGCAAAAUGACUCCGUAAGUUAGCGAGAAGGAGUGCUUAAGCAAUUAAGCCGCAGUGAAGAGGCCCAAGCGACUGUUUAACUAAAACACAGCUCUCUGCGAAGUCGCAAGACGAAGUAUAGGGGGUGACACCUGCCCGGUGCUGGAAGGUUAAGAGGAUCUGUUAAGAGCGAUCUGAAGCAGUGAUCCGAAGCCCCAGUGAACGGCGGCCGUAACUAUAACGGUCCUAAGGUAGCGAAAUUCCUUGUCAGGUAAGUUCUGACCCGCACGAAAGGUGUAACGAUUUGGGCGCUGUCUCGGCAGCAGACUCGGUGAAAUCUUAGUACCUGUGAAAAUGCAGGUUACCCGCAACUAGACGGAAAGACCCCAUGGAGCUUUACUGCAGCCUGAUAUUGAAUUCUGGUCAUACAUGUACAGGAUAGGUGGGAGACAAAGAGACGUGCACGCCAGUGUACGAGGAGUCGACGUUGGGAUACCACUCUUGUGUGACCGGGGUUCUAACCUGGUAUCGAGAACAGGUACGGGGAGAGUGUCAGGUGGGCAGUUUGACUGGGGCGGUCGCCUCCCAAAGAGUAACGGAGGCGCCCAAAGGUACGCUCAGAUUGGAUGGAAACCAAUCGACGAGUGCAAUUGCAGAAGCGUGCUUGACUGUGAGACUUACAAGUCGAACAGGGACGAAAGUCGGGAAUAGUGAUCCGGCGGUGCCGAAUGGAAGGGCCGUCGCUCAACGGAUAAAAGCUACCCUGGG